Molecule: long non-coding RNA, 3086 nt
Organism: Passer domesticus (house sparrow)
Lineage: Eukaryota; Metazoa; Chordata; Aves; Passeriformes; Passeridae
Exons: 2
Source: RefSeq, a predicted model, not a curated record
ACCUGAAAAUGUUGCAGUGGGAGAGUUAAGCAAGUUAGUUUGAUGUAAUCCAAGUCUCAGCAGGUUUGAUCUGGCCCCUGUUUGCCACCACAGCACCCUGGACUUACAUGUUCCAAGGCAAACCAUGUGUUCUUUGUGCAGCAGCAUUGGAAGAUUGCUGGGGAGGAUAAAAGUUUUACCAUCUUUUCACCUCCCAUUCAAAAAGGAACUGACAAAUGGAUUAUAGGAUUGAUCUGUACCAGAAGACACAUUAUUUUUAAAAGGUCCUUUAGAAUGUCCCCCAGCUGGUUUCAGGGCUGUGUAACUGUCCUUCCCUGCCAACCUUUAUAUUUUCUCAUGAAAAAUUUCAUAUCAGAAAAAUGCUCUUUUCCAGACCUAGCUGCAAGGAUAGCUGUUUCCUUCCUCCCUGUACAUUUCCUUCCCUCAUAUUUUAUACAUGCAAAGGCAUAUACAUUCUUACUCCUUUCUGCCAUCCUUACAUGGCUGCAGUUCUGAUUUCAUUGAUUGCACACACCAGUGUCUGCAGAGCUACCUUAAGUAAGUUGAAGCCGCUGGGAAUUCAAGGUGAAUACAUUUUUCUCCUUCAGAUGCAUUGUUUUAGUUAAAAGCCAUUGCGGCUGCUCCAUAACAAAACCAGACACGCUGGGCCCCCAUUGUCCGGCUCUUGGCCAAGGCAGCAUGUAUGGAUUAAGUGAUGAAUUGCAAAAAGGGCCUAAAAGCCAAGCUGUAACUUCACAAAAAGGCCAUUAAAGGUGAGCACUGUCAGUGAAGUGCCCAUUCAGAAGGGCUUUUAUGACCCUCGGUGUUCCAGAGACACUCUGGAGCUACAAAUGGUUCAGGCUCCCAGACUUUCUGCCCAAGUGACAUCCUCAGCCGAACCUGGCUGCGAGAGCUGCUCCUUGCAGGAAUGGGAGUGGGACACUGGCACUAUCUACACCCAGCAGGCGUUGCCAAAGUAAACAGUCACGGAUGGCUAUUUGGAAAGCAGGGGAGAGAAGAAAGGGACACAGAGUCAGGACUGGUCCAAAUGUGUCCAGACAAGCACUACACAUCAGCUGAUAUGUGUUGGGGGCCAAGUGCUGCCAGAGUUAAAAUUUCUGGGAAAAGGAGUCCAUUUGUUGAGAGACAGGCACAAGAGAUAGAAUUGCAAGGUCUUCUCUUGGAUCAAAGAUGCCAUGCCUGAAUUCUUGAGCCUUUAGGGGGAGCAGGGUGUGAGCUUGGCAUUAAUCAGCCCCCUUCUGAUUUAUUUCAUGGCAUAAAUCAGCCCCCUUCUGAUUUAUUUUAUUUAUUUAUUUUAAGUCUUGAAGUCAGAGGAGGUGUUUGAGUAAUUCCAAGCUUACAGAGUUCAAGCAUAUCAAUCCUUCACUUCUCUGAAGCAGAUAAUUUAGCCUUCAGCCAGCUCCCUGUGUGGGAACCUAUCAGGCAGUGUCCUAAAUGAAACUCCCUUCCUCCGCGCUGUGCUGGUCCAUGGAUAUCACACAUCUCUGCAGAAGUUCAGAAUUUGGUCCAGGCCAACAAAGAAAACUGUCCCCAGCUGGAUCAGUGUGCCUGGUAACUUUUGUGUGGGCCCUGGAUGCACUGCAGAAGUGUUUUAGGGAUGUAAUGUAUUUAUAACCUGCAUUUUUUAUCAGGCUCUGAAAAGAGUUCUAAAGUUCCUUCUCUGAUGCCUUGACACAAAGUACAAGAGGACAAAGCAGACCUUUUGUGUAGGAAUAUCUUCUUUCCCUGUCCCAUCUCCACACUGAUUUGCUCCUUAGUUCAGCCAGCUGCUGAAUGUCUGCUCUUCUUCCUUCUCAGAUUAACUACAAGAACUCAGACUUUUUGCCUUCAUCUGGGACUUGUUCCUUGCUGGGAGCUUCAUCUUAUAAAGCAGUGAGGGUUCACCUGGCUCCUUCUGGUCAGAUGAGCAUAAUUCAUGGACAGAGCUUGGGCUACUGACAGCUAGACCGGAGCGGUUGUCUCAAGUGCUUGAGACUCCUGCAGCCUCCUCUCCCCACAGCAGAGUCACCAGAAUGUCCAGGGGCAGGCUCUCAUGUGACUUUGAUCCAUGCCAGGGAUGGAUUCCAGAUGGAUACUUCCCCAGAGUUGGCCUACAGGCAUGUUUCACACAGCAUUGAUGGGGUGUUAACGAUGCUAAAAUUUCAGCCAAGCUCCUCAGACAUGCUGGGUUGGGAAUGAGGAGAGGAGUUCUUUAAUAAAAACCUGAUGUAGACCGAGGGCUUUUACCUGUAGCACAGCCAGAGGAGCCAUCAGAGCACCUGGAAGAGGGAAGUGAAGGUGCAGCCCCUCCGUGUUACCAAGUUACUGAAGCACCAGUGAUCUCGGCAUUUCCCAAGCCUCUGGCUGGAACUGGGCCUGGGAUGAAGCCAUUUUUUGGAAGUUGCCAGGUGGUGUGCAAGCGGUGGCUUGAUCCUGUGGGGUCUGGAGGGGAUUUGCCUCUGGGAGCUGUGAGGUGGCCCAGGGCGAAGGGAGCUGAGGGAAGGAUCAGGCACAUCCCCACGGAGCUGUGGCUGCACUCCUGCCUCCAGCUCCCCACAGGGCCUGCAGUGCUCUGGGACACACACAGAGCUCAGAGCAGUCCUGGGAAGGGGCUCAGGGUCUGCUCUCCCCUGCCCUCAAGUCCUGCCUGAUUCCUGGGGUGGGGACAUGCCACAGGCAGAAUGGAGCUGAGCCUUUGGGCUGGGCUUGGGCUGCCUGAGUGGCGUUACCACACACCUGCUGGGGUCAUUUUGGCUCAGACAUCACACUUCUUUUUUCCUGAAGUGAAUUAUCCUGAUCUAUAUCCUAGUUUAGAGGCCAUUCCACAUCUGUGCGUUUGGCUUAAUGUUUUAGGUUUUGUGUGUGUGUGUCUUGUUAUUAAUUACUUCUGGUAUUUUAUUGGCCAGUUCCACAACAUUCUGGGAUCUUUCUGUAGGUCUUUGCAGAAGGCUGUAGUUUUUGUUGUCCUAAAUAAUUUUAUAUGAUCUUAACUAAAGUUUGCAAACUAAUGCUCUGUAUUCUGCCGCCUGAGAGCCUUAAAAUGAACCAGAACUCCAGUGAACCAGUGGCAUUGAUUGUUACACCUCAAGGAGUAGCAAAGCCAACAG